This 118-nucleotide ribosomal RNA is filed under the name Pteropus alecto (black flying fox). The record is from RNAcentral. Lineage: Eukaryota; Metazoa; Chordata; Mammalia; Chiroptera; Pteropodidae.
CUCUACGGCAUGCCACCCCAAACAAGCCCGAUCUCGUCUGAUCUCGGAAGCUAAGCAGGGUCGGGCCUGGUUAGUACUUGGAUGGGAGACCACCUAGGAAGACCAGGUGCUGCAGGCA